GUAUUUAUUCUACUGUUUUAGGGCCCUUGGGUUCUUUUGCGGUAGAGAUAUGAGGCAUCUCGUACCUUGGUAUGAGUGCUUUGAAAUUGAUAGCUGGUUUGUGCGUAGUGAUGCUUGAAUCUCUGCAAAGUCAACCCAAAAGUAUUUGAAUGGAACCUUGGUUUCUCAUAAUGCCGAGUAGGGGACAGUAGGGGCUAGUUGCUAGGCUAAGGUCAGUCCAUAACUAUAAAGUCUAGGCGGUCAAACGACUAGGCUUGAA
Molecule: unclassified non-coding RNA, 259 nt
Filed under: Paranamyces uniporus
Lineage: Eukaryota; Fungi; Chytridiomycota; Chytridiomycetes; Rhizophydiales; Halomycetaceae
Description: partial internal transcribed spacer 2
Source: RNAcentral